GUAGGUGGCAAGCGUUGUCCGGAAUUAUUGGGCGUAAAGCGCGCGCAGGCGGUCCUUUAAGUCUGAUGUGAAAGCCCACGGCUCAACCGUGGAGGGUCAUUGGAAACUGGGGGACUUGAGUACAGAAGAGGGAAGCGGAAUUCCAAGUGUAGCGGUGAAAUGCGUAGAGAUUUGGAGGAGCACCAGUGGCGAAGGCGGCUUUCUGGUCUGUAACUGACGCUGAGGCGCGAAAGCGUGGGGAGCAAACAGGGAUUAGAUACCCUGGUAGUCCACGCCGUAAACGAUGAGUGCUAAGUGUUAGGGGGUUUCCGCCCCCUUAGUGCUGCAGCUAACGCAUUAAGCACUCCGCCUGGGGAGUACGGCCGCAAGGCUG
This 373-nucleotide ribosomal RNA is filed under the name uncultured organism. RNAcentral describes it as "partial 16S ribosomal RNA". It matches the Rfam family "Bacterial small subunit ribosomal RNA", at positions 527 to 896 of the family's 1533-position model. The record is from RNAcentral.